This 231-nucleotide microRNA precursor is filed under the name Leersia perrieri. RNAcentral describes it as "pre miRNA MIR811". Lineage: Eukaryota; Viridiplantae; Streptophyta; Magnoliopsida; Poales; Poaceae. The record is from RNAcentral.
GCAACAUGCAAAGUACUGUUGGAUGCAAAAAUAGACAUCUCAGAUGUGUCCACGUCACCGAGUAAAAGUUUUACUCACAGAUCUCCGUGAGUAAUUUUUUUACUCCCUCCAUGAGUAUCCAUGAUUAAACUUUUUACUCCUAGAUCAAAACUGUGAGUAAAUUUUUAAUUCAUGGUGACGUGGACAAAUCUCAUACGCUUAUUUUGGAUCCAGGGUAGUUUACAUGUUUGC